RNAcentral lists this ribosomal RNA (759 nucleotides) under uncultured Enterobacteriaceae bacterium. RNAcentral describes it as "bacterial SSU rRNA". It matches the Rfam family "Bacterial small subunit ribosomal RNA", at positions 28 to 776 of the family's 1533-position model. Lineage: Bacteria; Pseudomonadati; Pseudomonadota; Gammaproteobacteria; Enterobacterales; Enterobacteriaceae. The record is from RNAcentral.
AUUGAACGCUGGCGGCAGGCCUAACACAUGCAAGUCGAGCGGCAGCGGAAAGUAGCUUGCUACUUUGCCGGCGAGCGGCGGACGGGUGAGUAAUGUCUGGGAAACUGCCUGAUGGAGGGGGGUAACUACUGGAAACGGUAGCUAAUACCGCAUGACCUCGAAAGAGCAAAGUGGGGGAUCUUCGGACCUCACGCCAUCGGAUGUGCCCAGAUGGGAUUAGCUAGUAGGUGAGGUAAUGGCUCACCUAGGCGACGAUCCCUAGCUGGUCUGAGAGGAUGACCAGCCACACUGGAACUGAGACACGGUCCAGACUCCUACGGGAGGCAGCAGUGGGGAAUAUUGCACAAUGGGCGCAAGCCUGAUGCAGCCAUGCCGCGUGUGUGAAGAAGGCCUUAGGGUUGUAAAGCACUUUCAGCGAGGAGGAAGGCAUCAUACUUAAUACGUGUGGUGAUUGACGUUACUCGCAGAAGAAGCACCGGCUAACUCCGUGCCAGCAGCCGCGGUAAUACGGAGGGUGCAAGCGUUAAUCGGAAUUACUGGGCGUAAAGCGCACGCAGGCGGUUUGUUAAGUCAGAUGUGAAAUCCCCGCGCUUAACGUGGGAACUGCAUUUGAAACUGGCAAGCUAGAGUCUUGUAGAGGGGGGUAGAAUUCCAGGUGUAGCGGUGAAAUGCGUAGAGAUCUGGAGGAAUACCGGUGGCGAAGGCGGCCCCCUGGACAAAGACUGACGCUCAGGUGCGAAAGCGUGGGGAGCAAACAGG